This 45-nucleotide non-coding RNA is filed under the name Trichobilharzia regenti. The record is from RNAcentral. Lineage: Eukaryota; Metazoa; Platyhelminthes; Trematoda; Strigeidida; Schistosomatidae.
AUCCAGCUGACGAGUCCCGAGUAGAACGAAAUGUGCAUCCUGGAU